CCUUAAUGCGGGCGAGAAACCCGCACACCGAAAAACUAAGGUUUCCACAGCUAUGCUAAUCAGCUGUGGGUUAGUCUGGUCCUAAGGCGAACCCGAAAGGGACAGUCGAAGGCUAACGGGUUAAUAUUCCCGUACUACUAAUUACUGUGAUGGGGUGACGGAGUGAUGAAAGCGCCGCGAACUGACGGAAUAGUUCGUUGAAGUACCUAGCUAUAUUCUCUAUAGGCAAAUCCGUAGAGAAUGGCGAAAUACGAUAGUACUCGGAGUCUUCGGACAAAGAGAUAGUGCGCCUAAGGGCUUCCAAGAAAAACCUCUAAACUUCAGGUAAUUAGUACCAGUACCGUAAACCGACACAGGUAGUUGAGGAGAGAAUCCUAAGGUGCUCGAGAGAUUCAUGGCUAAGGAAUUAGGCAAAAUAGACCCGUAACUUCGGGAGAAGGGUCGCCCCGAGUAAUCGGGGCCGCAGUGAAGAGGUCCAGGCGACUGUUUAUCAAAAACACAGGGCUCUGCAAAAUCGUAAGAUGAAGUAUAGGGCCUGACACCUGCCCGGUGCUGGAAGGUUAAGAGGAGAUGUUAUCUUCGGAGAAGCAUUGAAUUGAAGCCCCAGUAAACGGCGGCCGUAACAAUAACGGUCCUAAGGUAGCGAAAUUCCUUGUCGGGUAAGUUCCGACCUGCACGAAUGGUGUAACGAUCUGGACACUGUCUCAGCCAUGAGCUCGGUGAAAUUGUAGUAACGGUGAAGAUGCCGUUUACCCGCAGUGGGACGAAAAGACCCUGUGCACCUUUACUAUAGCUUAGUAUUGACCUUGGAUAAAUGAUGUGUAGGAUAGGUUGGAGACUGUGAAGUGGCGUCGCCAGGCGUUGUGGAGUCAUUGUUGAAAUACAACCCUUUGUUUAUCUGAGGCCUAACCCCGUUUUGCGGGGGACAUUGCUUGGUGGGUAGUUUGACUGGGGUGGUCGCCUCCAAAAGAGUAACGGAGGCUUCUAAAGGUUCCCUCAGUACGCUUGGUAACCGUGCGUAGAGUGCAAUGGCAUAAGGGAGCUUGACUGAGAGACAUACAGGUCGAUCAGGUACGAAAGUAGAGCAUAGUGAUCCGGUGGUUCCGCAUGGAAGGGCCAUCGCUCAAAGGAUAAAAGGUACGCCGGGGAUAACAGGCUGAUCUCCCCCAAGAGCUCAUAUCGACGGGGGGGUUUGGCACCUCGAUGUCGGCUCGUCACAUCCUGGGGCCAA
Molecule: ribosomal RNA, 1231 nt
Filed under: metagenome
Description: bacterial LSU rRNA
Rfam family: Bacterial large subunit ribosomal RNA
Source: RNAcentral